Molecule: ribosomal RNA, 366 nt
Filed under: uncultured Fusobacterium sp.
Lineage: Bacteria; Fusobacteriati; Fusobacteriota; Fusobacteriia; Fusobacteriales; Fusobacteriaceae
Description: bacterial SSU rRNA
Rfam family: Bacterial small subunit ribosomal RNA
Source: RNAcentral
GUAUGUCACGAGCGUUAUCCGGAUUUAUUGGGCGUAAAGCGCGUCUAGGUGGUUAURUAAGUCUGAUGUGAAAAUGCAGGGCUCAACUCUGUAUUGCGUUGGAAACUGWAUAACUAGAGUACUGGAGAGGUAAGCGGAACUACAAGUGUAGAGGUGAAAUUCGUAGAUAUUUGUAGGAAUGCCGAUGGGGAAGCCAGCUUACUGGACAGAUACUGACGCUAAAGCGCGAAAGCGUGGGUAGCAAACAGGAUUAGAUACCCUGGUAGUCCACGCUGUAAACGAUGAUUACUAGGUGUUGGGGGUCGAACCUCAGCGCCCAAGCAAACGCGAUAAGUAAUCCGCCUGGGGAGUACGUACGCAAGUAUG